Long non-coding RNA from Capra hircus (goat), 4550 nucleotides. RefSeq lists it as uncharacterized. The transcript is spliced from 4 exons. Lineage: Eukaryota; Metazoa; Chordata; Mammalia; Artiodactyla; Bovidae. The record is from RefSeq and is a predicted model, not a curated record.
GAUUCAAUGCCUAUUCCUAGAUAUUGAAAUGAAAGCACAAAAGAAAUCAAGUGAUGCUGCCAGCAAGCAGACGGGUACUCAGAGGGAAUUUAAGAUUUGAAUUUGAGGGAAAUUCAGGAUUAUAGUAAAUGGAUGACAGUAGGUGAAGAAUCAAUUCAUUCUUGGUCCCUUCCGGAGGAGGAAGGUACAGCCACCCAGGUUGUACUGAUGAUGUCACUUCAGAUGUUCCGAGCCUCAGCCUCAGUGGUAACCACGCAGGAAUUGAGGACUUAAGAUCUUACUUCGGGAAAGCACUGCUUGCCGUAGAAUUUGUGGUUGCAGACGCCGUGCUGAGGAACAAGACGACACCAGCCGAACAAGUCCACACAGGAUGGAUCCUCUAAGGUGAGAAGAGACGUUCGGCACAUUAGGGCGGCUUCUUAGCCUUUUCCUUAAGGCGAGGGCCUACAGACAGAGACUUGGGGUCGACUUGCCUAUGGCCCCCCGGGGUUCUUACAUGAGACACGAGGACUUUGUGGGGGAAAAAGCAGGAUGAAGGCACCCAGAGGCACCACGAAAGUGACAGUGUUAUUCGCUCAGCAGGAUCCGACUCUUUGCGAGCCGUGGACUGUAGCCUGCCGGGCUCCUAAGGCACUGCAACCACUAACAAAAUGUAAACAGGUUAGGGUUACUGGAUUGCAAGUGGAUGUUCAAAAAAACAAAACAAAAGUCAUCUGAAGCCUGAGCUUAAGGUCUGAUCCUCCUGAAUAAGCUGGAGACUACUGUUGUGCCUCCAAGGCAUGGCCCCUAAAGACAACAUCCCCGAGGGUGUUGUUAAACCACUGGUUCUGUUUCGGAAGGCCUGGGGUGAGAACCCAGUUUUUUUUAAUUUCUAACUAACACCCCAGGGUUGUGGCCACUACUCCAGGCUCAUUACUUUGGGGACCAACAAACCUCAUAUACCGGGGGUUCCACGCCUAGAUUGAAGGCCCAACGGUGACACUCUGUGCAGGUUUAAAUCAAACCUCAUGGCCAGUUUGUGAAGACAUGGACUGAAGUCAGCACCAGUCUUUUUAAACUUCCUUCCUUGGGUAGGCUAACAGGUGUGACUAUCCACUGGAAGCAGAACACGGGGCAUCAGAGGCUUUUGCCCCAAAGGCCCUCAGGAGUCGCAGAGCACACAUGGAGGUGCACAUCCAUUUUUCCUUCCGCAAGCAGAAAUGUGUGUUUUAGGGGUCAGGGCUCAGUCCUUUGCCUGGGUUUGCAAGGAAUUUCUUUUUAACUUUAGAACUAUUUAGGGUCUACCCCUAUACGUGGGUAAAUGCUGUCAUUCAGAGCUGGAAUUUCCUCCUCUAUGCAAGUCUUAAAGUCACCCUCAAGUCCCCGCAAACCGUACACCACCCACGGGCACCCAGUCACGUCCCUCCUGAAUCCACCCUCACGGCUCGCCUCUGAGCCCCGGGACACGGCUCACGAGGCUCUUCUUUUUCUGUUGCUUUGCCUGCUGCUCCCAAUUUGCAUCUGGUCUUCCUGUGAGCUGCUGACAGCGCCUUCCUUAAGCCUCGGUUCUUCCGCCUAAAGCUCCCUUUCACGCACACACUUCACUCCUCCCAGCCCCAGCGUGGCCUCGGAAUCCUUUUGAAACGGGCACGCAUCCCUGGCACACCCCUGCCCCUAACCCUCCCCUUGGAUCCCGCUCACCUGGAGUCAGAGGUACAGUCUCUACAGUGACUCACAGGAUCUGGUCCCCAAGACGGCAGAGCCACCUCAUCCUUUCAUUUCCCUGAAGCCUCUGCUCAGAGGUGCCCGCUGGGUUCUGCCUUCUCUGACCUCCCUAUGAGAACCCCCGUGGCCCCCAGGAAGGACCACCUCUCCCUGCUUUGUUUCCCUACGUGCGAUUUACCAGCAUUUAUCACGUCACGUGUUUACCUAUGGCCGCCUCCUCUCCAGCGCAGCAGCCUCGAGCAGACAUCUGACCGACUUUCUCUCACUGCUCUGCUCCCAACACCUGCCACAGCGCGGCUGCUCAAGAAGCACUUGUUGAAAAAAAUAAAUUCCCUCCACCUCACGGCCAAAACAACCAGUUCAAGCCACACUAACUCUCCGCUUGGGUACAAGGAUGAAACAGACUUGUUCUUUUCUUUCCUACUAGUAAGUCCUGGUUAGAUUCUGAAGGUGGAGUCUAGAGGAUUAGCUGACAGGUGGGUAAAGAGUGUGAGACAGGAGAAUCAAGAAUGGCUACGGGAUUUUGACCUGGGCAUCUAGAAGAACGGGGUCAUGUUUACUGAGAUGGGGGCGGGGUGGAGGUAGGCACCAGGAGACUAGUUUAGGAUAUAUCAACAGAGAUACAAGCGCCACAUGAGAGGAAGACUUUGCCUAUGUGUCUGUAUGUAUAUAAUCUUCAAGUUCAGUUAUUUUUCAGUACAGUGCCUUACACCCCAGUGCAUUAGCAUGUACCCUAAUCAGUCAGAAUGGACGGCUGGAUCAGCUUCUAUUUAGACAGCAGAGACGAUCCUAUUGACGCAGAGGAAGUACUGUAGGAUACAAAAAGCAUGGGCCUCAGCACUAUCACCACUUACCCCUCCUGAGCUAAGCAUGGAAUUUCAACAUCUAGCUUCUGCUGGAAGCUAGAUGCAAGUCAGGAAUCAGACGUGCGGUGUCUCACGAUGCUGUCAGGGUAAGUAUGGCAUUGGGUUAUGGUUGUAAUAAUGAUUACUAAUAGCUGAUUACUGAGUGUAAUAGAGGAUGGCAUCACCGACUCAAUGGACAUGAGUUUGAGUGAACUCCGGGAGCUGAACAGGGAGGCUGGUGUGCUGCAGCCUGUGGGGUCGCAAAGAGCCGGACGUGACUGAGCGACUGAACUGAACUGAACAGCUGAUUAUUUGAGCCUCUGUUAUGAGUCUGGUAUUUUGUUUACACUAUUAAGGACAACCCCAGAGCGAGCUUCACAUCCUACAUGCAAACUAAUUGACAAGUAUCAUUGGCUGGAUCCUCACAUCCAGCGACUCCCCACACCACUACCCUUGUGGGACCUCGUCCCCUCACUGGACAUGGGACCCGCCUCCUGCAGAGAGGAGACAAGUCCUCGUUCUGUGCUAGGCCCCCUCCUCAGUGUAACUUCCAGGGAUCCUCCCGUGCGAUGGGGAUGGGGAUGGGAGAACUGGGAGGAAUCCCCACCUGAGUAAAACUAGAGGCCUGUGUUUGGCCAGGAAGAAAUGCCUGGGCCUGUGUCCUGCGUGUCUGCCUUCUCAUUUCACUCCUCUUGAUACAAGGAGACCUGCCUCAGGCAGGAGGGCUGAGACAAGGCCCUCUCCUGGGAAGCCUUCCCCAGAGCCUCGUCGCACCAUCCCUGGCACCAGCUAGAGCUCACCACCAUCAGGGACUGCCCUGGAUGUGUAUACCUUGCACACCUCUCAGGAGGGCUCCUCAUGUCGACUGUGAUGUGAAAGGCACCCCCUAGAGUUUGGGCAGAAGCUGCGUAACUGAAUACAACAGGAAACCGACUUGCGCGUGGUGGGGUCCUUUACCUCUCUUGGCAGGAGCUGGACAGAAGUUGGUGUUACAGGCCCGCAGCACUGGAGGCUUCUGCCGCAGCAGGCAACUCGAGGAAGGCCGGCCCUGCUGGACGCAGUGGACCGAGCGUGUCUGCACCCCUCCGCCACAGGUGAGGACGUCCACCUGGGACAAGCAUCGCUAUGCAGAAUGGCUUCUGAGAGGAAAAAAUAUGUUGCGGUAAAAAAGACUAUGAGUUUUGGAAUUAGCUCUAAAUUCAAAGAUAGCUGGAUCCCUGUUAUCAAAUCAUCUCAGUCAGAAGAUGGCUAACUAUUUUUGUGAAGAACAAGCCAGUAACUAUUUUGUUAAUUGAGGUAUAGUUGAUGUCCAAUAUUAUGUUAGUCUCAGGUAUACAACAGAGUGAUUCAAAAUUUGUAUAGAUUAUAUUCCAUUUAUGGUUAUUAUAAAAUACUGGUUAAACCCUUGUCUUUGUAGAUUAUAUAUAUAUAUAUAUACACACACAUAUAUACAUAUCAUAUAUAGUAGUUUGCACCUCUUAAUGCCUCUCGUCCUGCAGUAAUCACUGGUUUGUUCGCUACAUUUUUUCCAUUCCACAUAAGUGAUAAACAGUAUUUCAUUUUCUCUAUCUGACUAAUUUCACUAGGCAUAAUACCCUCCUGGUCCAUUGAUGUUGUUGCAAAUGGCAAAAUUUCAUUCUUUAUUACACCUGCUGAUGCGCACUUAGUCUGCUUCCGUGUCUUGGUUCCUGUAAACAGUGCUGCUGUGAACGCUGGGGUGCGUGUGUCUUUUUAAAUUAGUGCUUUCAUUUUCUCUGGAUACAUACAACAUAGGAGUUGAACUGCUGGGUCAUAAGGUAGCUCUAGUCUUAGUUUUUUGAGGAACGUCCAUACAGUUUUCCCCAGUGUACCAGUUUACACUCUCACCAACAGUACACAGAGGCUGGCUUUCCUCCACAUCCUCACCAACACUUGUUCUUUGUGACGAUAACCAUACUGAGCAGUAUCAGGCGGUGUUUCCCUGUGGUUGUGAUUUGCAUUUCUCUGACGAUUAGCAAGGCU